GCGAUUCGCCCUUCGGGGUGCAGCAGGCGCGAAAACUCUACAAUGCAGGCAACUGCGAUAGGGGAACAUCGAGUGAUCCUCAUAUUGGGGGUCUGUCCCAUCGUCUAAAAAACGGUGGUUAGCAAGGGCCGGGCAAGACCGGUGCCAGCCGCCGCGGUAAUACCGGCGGCUCGAGUGGUGGCCGAUAUUAUUGAGUCUAAAGGGUCCGUAGCCGGCUUUGCAAGUCUCUCGGGAAAUCCAGCGGCUUAACCGUUGGUCGUCCGGGGGGUACUACAUUGCUUGGGACUGGGAGAGGUAGGAGGUACUCAGGGGGUAGGAGUGAAAUCCUGUAAUCCUCUGGGGACCACCGGUGGCGAAGGCGUCCUACCAGAACAGGUCCGACGGUGAGGGACGAAAGCUAGGGGCACGAACCGGAUUAGAUACCCGGGUAGUCCUAGCCGUAAACGAUGCUCGCUAGGUGUCACAACAGUCGUGAACUGUUGUGGUGCCGUAGGGAAGCCGUGAAGCGAGCCACUUGCAAGUACGACCGCAAGGUUGAAACUUAAAGGAAUUGGCGGGGGAGCAC
This 565-nucleotide ribosomal RNA is filed under the name uncultured archaeon. Its description in RNAcentral is "bacterial SSU rRNA". It matches the Rfam family "Archaeal small subunit ribosomal RNA", at positions 313 to 879 of the family's 1478-position model. The record is from RNAcentral.